UUUCCUUCCUGGCUUGGUAGCCCCCAGACGUAGGUGAGUUGCAUCGAACUGGGUUAACAAUUGCUUGUGUCUCUUGCAUUACUAUUCUUUAUCUUUAUCCUGUUUGUGUUACUCAUUUAUUAGUGUCGUGACAUUACCUUCGACAUCUCAUAUCUGAUACCAGAAUUUUAAGCCGAACUACGGAGCUCUGACUUUCUCAUUGCACAGUGAGAAUACGUAGGCACGAGGAUUCAGAUUCUCCGUGAGCACCCUAAUUAUUAAAUCUUCAUUCAAAUUUAUUUAUUAUUCCCCAUUCAUUAAUCCAUUACCAUCCCUCAGCAGUAUUAUGUUGCCUGCACUUUGGAACCAAGCACCUUAUCCCUUUGGGUUCCAUGUAUACUUUUGGGCCAGUAACAAAUAUCCACCUUUGAGACAAGAGUUGUUUAUCUUAUUCCAGAAACUUAAUUCCUUUUUUUUGUUAUUCCAAUACAAUUACACCAUGCCUUAGGCCCAUCACUUGUUGGUUUAUGCCAGUUUACUCUUCGGCUCAAAGUUUAUUCUUUCAUGGAUUCAAUAUACCUUUACCCUUUGGUUUUAGACUGUUGGUUCCCUACAGUGAUAUAUUAUUCCUUGUACCAAACAUCAUUUUCCUUUGGGGUCUCAUACUUAUCCUUUUAGUAUGAUUUAAUUGGUGUCCACCUUAUUAACCAAGACCUAUUUGGCUUAUUGCCAGGCAUUUAAUUUUCGGCCCAACCAAAUAGAGUGAUACCAUGCCUUAGGCCCCUCACUUGUUGGUUUAUGCAUGUUUAAUCUUUGGUUUAAAGUUUAUUUACCUUUUUGGGUUCCCAUGAUACCUGAUCGGUCACCAUUUCCAUUGAAUUCCCACCGUUAAUCCGACAUAUUUUCAUCAUUUUGGUAAGAUUUAUGUUUGUUUUUAGUUGCUUCGGAGUCAUUUAUCAUGUUUUGUUGGUUUGGUAUCGCAUUGCAUUCGAUUACAAGUUUAUGUCAAAAAGAUCUCGUUUAUGCUUUGUUUGGUAGUGUCAUUGUUACAGGCCAUUGCACAGGUUUAAAAGCAAUAAUGGUGAAGUUAUGGAUACUCAGAAAGGCAAAAAUAUGAAGAAACAACAGGUCAACACGGGCACCCGUGUGCCACAACACUGCCCGUGUUGUUGAUCAGGCAGAGCAAAAUGGGAGAAGAAAAACAGAGAUCAACACGGGCACCCGUGUGGUGACACACGGCUGUGUUGUUUAAAACAGUGCAUUAACACGGGCACCCGUGUGGAGGAACACGGCCCGUGUUGUUGCCUCUGUAGCUUGUGUUGAAGAUAAUUAUCAUGGAGAGCAACACGGGCACCCGUGUGGUGACACACGGCCGUGUUGUUGGGCACAGCUUGGAAACCCUAACUUUUGCUUUGUGAAGCGAUUCUGCUCAUUAAGGGUAGUUUGGACCUUUUGUUUGGAAGAGAUUGAUCUGAAGCUAUAAGAAGGCUUGGAAGAGAAAGGAGAAGGGACUUUUGGACGUAUGAAAAGAAACAUUACACCAGAGAAGAUAGCUACUACGGAGGAUUCGAAGACGGCGAGAUUCAAGGGCAUCACCCAUUGAAGAUCAAAAUCUCCUAAUUCUUUGUAAUCUUUAAUUUCUAUACUAUGCUUUCUUUGAAUACUAUGAGAGGCUAAACCCCCUAUGUUAGGGGGGUGAUCCUGAUUUGAUCGUAUGUUAUGAAUUUGAACAAAUGAUUUCCUUAUUGC
RNAcentral lists this long non-coding RNA (1728 nucleotides) under Lathyrus oleraceus (garden pea). Its description in RNAcentral is "Pisum sativum (pea) long non-coding RNA (PSAT_LNC034964)". The record is from RNAcentral. Lineage: Eukaryota; Viridiplantae; Streptophyta; Magnoliopsida; Fabales; Fabaceae.